This 253-nucleotide ribosomal RNA is filed under the name uncultured bacterium. Its description in RNAcentral is "partial 16S ribosomal RNA". It matches the Rfam family "Bacterial small subunit ribosomal RNA", at positions 524 to 776 of the family's 1533-position model. The record is from RNAcentral.
GACGGAGGAGGCAAGCGUUAUCCGGAAUUACUGGGCGUAAAGAGCUCGUAGGUGGUUUGUCGCGUUGUUCGUGAAAACUCACAGCUCAACUGUGGGCGUGCGGGCGAUACGGGCAGACUUGAGUACUGCAGGGGAGACUGGAAUUCCUGGUGUAGCGGUGGAAUGCGUAGAUAUCAGGAGGAAUACCGGUGGCGAAAGCGACUCUCUGGACGGCAACUGACGCUGAGGCACGAAAGCGUGGGGAGCAAACAGG